GGUUAUUUCAAUAGCAAAUAAUGCAUGCUGGGCUAUUGGAGAACUUGCAGUUAAGAUGAACAUCACGAGAUUUCUGAGCACAAGGAAUGUGUAGCAGCUGUAAUUUUUGUGUGUAGAAGUAGAACCCACUACACUAGCCACUAAUAUCGGAUUGCCAAGAAGCUCUAAAGAACAAUCGUAAUUAGGAAUGUGCCUUAAUAAUACUAUUAUGAAAAUCUCACUUCCUGUUAUUAAUUAGUCACAGAUUUGAGUUAUCUUCUGUGGUCACCACAUUUUAAAGCAACAGC
Long non-coding RNA from Arachis duranensis, 287 nucleotides. RefSeq lists it as uncharacterized. The record is from RefSeq and is a predicted model, not a curated record. Lineage: Eukaryota; Viridiplantae; Streptophyta; Magnoliopsida; Fabales; Fabaceae. The transcript is spliced from 3 exons.